GCUAGGCUUUCGACAUCCGAUCUAACCUCAAUCAAUAUUUUGCCACCUUACACGGUCAAUAUCGCCCUCAACCCGAGACAACGAAAAUAUCCGCGAUGGCUAGUGGUGACAUUCGAGUUUGGGAUCCAAACUAUUCUCCAUCAGAUUAGAAGGCUAAAUUGCAAUUUUCAAUUGGUAAAAUUUGAAUGAAAAUAUCUACUUGAUAUUCCUACUAAAAUUUAUUAUUAUUAUAUAACGUCAGUUUCAGAUACAAUUUUUGUAUGGGAUUUUCUCACCACUUGCAGAAAAAAAGUGAUUUGCAUUCACAUAGAAUACUAAUUUGAUUUGGAAAAGUUAAUUUUCAUUCAUAAUUUACACUUUAAAACUCGUUUUUCCUUCUCAAAAACACAUCAUAAUCUAGGUAGUGCGGACUGAAUCAAAACGGCUGUCAAAAAAGAUCCAAUUGAAAUGUCAAAAAAGAUCCAACGAUGAGGAGUGUUGUUCUUCUUAUGAUAAUCAACACUAUAAAAAAGGUAUUGUUAUCAAAGGCAAAAAUAAUUAAAUUUUUAAAAUGCACGAACUACAUUUUUCCGUCAAUUGUUUAAUUAACCAUUGCAACCUCCAAAAACGAAUAAGCUUAGUUCACUCAAAGAUUUUCAUGUGGGAGCAAAAUUCGACAUUGGCGAAUUUCGUUACGUACAUACAUAGCAAAAAUGAAAUGUCAUAAGGUAUCAAAACAUUUCACUGUGAAAAUGGACGGGACGUAACGUCGGCGAAAACAGUUUUGUUGCUGAAGCUGGGCUUCAUAUAACACCAGAAAGCAAUCAGUGACAAAUUCUUUGCACAGUUAUUACUAUAAAGAACAACCUAUACCUGGAAGCAAUAAAAAGCACUAAUCUUGGAAUAUUCUCGUUGGUGGGAGCCUGUGGAAACGCCUGUGGAAUAUAUUUAUUCAUGGAGUACAAAAAUAUUUGAUCGCCGAUAAUGCUGAUCUGUGCAAAGGGAAUUAGUGUUUUGAAUUCAUCGCUACAGUAUUACGAAGUCGAUCGCCGAGCAUGCCACAUUAGAAACAGUGACAGUUCUUGUGCUUUCAACAUUCUUGAAUUCAAUCAGAUAAAGGACAAAUCGGACGACACAGUAUAUAUACGUGUUGAAUUUGAUCGAAACUGUGUAUACGAACUCUGAGUUAGUUCCAUGAUGUUAGUGUUAGGCUUUCAUUUUUCAAAAGGAUCAAACUACAACAAAGUUUCAAAGAUUCAAAGGAACUAGCUACCUUCAGCAAUACUCAUCUUAACAUUCGAUUUCCUUGAAUGACUAACGAGUUGUCUCAAAGUCUUGAAAGGCAAAUAUCGUUCGGUGUUAGUAUUAGAGAACUUUGUAUCGAUUUUCCAGAACAGUUUCAUCAGUGUCAGUAAAUAAAAUGCAUUGCACGAAGAUUAUGGGAAGUAGUAUUCAUUACAAUGCUUUUGCAGAUUUCCGGCGUAGAGGAAUAAUAUUUUAAUUCAGAUCUUUACAGCAAUUUUAUUCAAGUGUAUUGUAUCAUUGAACGCUUAUCAUUGGAGUUCAUGCAUGAAUAUUAGGCUUUAUUUAUAUUCUAGCAACAUCGUUGUAUCCAGAAAUCAAAUCUGUUAAGUUUCGCCGCUAAUGCGAAAUUAUCAAAACACAUAAAAGUAAUCCAGGAUUCAGGCUAUCCAGCAGUUAAUAUUUUUCUGAAACAAAUGAAGUCAGAGUCACGUAAAUGUUUACUCCUACGAUUUGAAAAUAUUCGAUGAAAAGUGGAACGAAGAGAUGCCAGAUGGUUUUUAAAAAAAGUCUGUAAAAACAUGUGAAUGUCUGUUAAAAAUGUGCAUAUCUGUAGGAAUGUAUUUUAACGUUAAUUUUCACAGAUUCAUUAAUACUUUGUACAUCGCGAUGCACGCAAAAUUGUAUUUUGUAUAUACUAGUUGACCCGGCAAACGUUGUUCUGCUAUAAAAAUUAUUACGCAAAUCAUUCCUUGUAUUCUAUUCCCGAUGUAUUUCAUUUACGAAUCUGACAUGUUUGUUCUCUUGAACGUUAAAUGUAAAGUGAAAAAGAAA
Long non-coding RNA from Toxorhynchites rutilus septentrionalis, 2055 nucleotides. RefSeq lists it as uncharacterized. The transcript is spliced from 4 exons. NCBI's taxonomy places the organism in Eukaryota, Metazoa, Arthropoda, Insecta, Diptera, Culicidae. The record is from RefSeq and is a predicted model, not a curated record.